Molecule: long non-coding RNA, 1233 nt
Organism: Bubalus bubalis (water buffalo)
Lineage: Eukaryota; Metazoa; Chordata; Mammalia; Artiodactyla; Bovidae
Exons: 2
Source: RefSeq, a predicted model, not a curated record
GUUCUCCCAGUCCAUGCAUGGGAAACACUAAGAGGAAUUCGAAUUUCCCGUGGAAGGCAACACGGACCCUCGGCCUCCCCCAUGCCUCUCACAUUUCAGUAUCUCAAAGCAAGUUGAGGCGGACAAGGAAAGAAAACAGCUGAAAUGAAAAUGGUUAAGUUAAUUAAUUGCGAGCUUGCUUGUAGGACCAGCUCGUUUAUUUAAUCAGUUGCCUAGUAACCCUGCCUGCGUAUGAUGUAAAUCUGAUCAUCCUGCCUCUGAGCAAGUGAUGGGCCAGUCUGUUUACCAGCCACCAGCACUCCCGUCCUGCUUCCACAGAUUCUGCAGCUGAGGGACCAAGGUCUUUGCAUCAUCGUGACCUUUCACCUGGUGAAUCAGAGGACAACUAAAAGGACUCACAUCUGCCUUCCUUCUAGAGCAACCUGCACGCCAGGUGCCAGACGAGCGGCCCAGCUCUCAAAACUAUCACCACUUCUGUUCUCACGUCGAUAAACAGGUCAUGUUUCCACACAACAGCUCAUGUUAGGGCCUCUACCCGGAGCAGAACUGAGAGGCCCCGGCAAAGAGCAGGCUUUGGGCUGUUGGUUUCGUGUCUGUGAGCUUUUCUGAGGGACCUUAAGUGGGAAGAGAGAAUAAAUGCUGAGUGUAAUCACGAAAGACCAGCUCAAGACAAACUGUGCAGUUUGCUUUCCUGGCUGGGAAAAAAAAAAUAAUAACUCACAUACUGACAGGCAAGAGAGUGCCGAGGACUCUUUUUGUGCUAGAUUUAUUGGAGGAUUUGACAAGGAUUUGCUUGCAGUUUUUCACCCCCUUAUGCUAUUCUCUUAGCUGGUUGUUUUGAACAUCUCUCCUCCGUCUUUAUCCCCAGCCAUCCUCGUUCUUUGGCCAAAUAAAAAGGAAACAUCAAUGCAAUAAAGACCCAUGUUUCUGCUUCGACACACCAUGACCACAUUCUUAUACUAUUAUGAGGUGGGCUUUUUUUUUUUUCCCUUCUAUUUGUCAGUCUCUGUGGAUAAAAGACUCCAUCUUCCAUAAAGAAUUCCCACCAGAAAUCUUUAUAAACCCUCCAUCAGAGAGACACUCUGCCAUCGUGCUGUGCAAAAGCUAAUCUAAUUAAGACAGGAUCUGCUAAAUUUAAUAGCCUGCUAUGAAUUUUUACAGACAUCUGGUAGCUGGAAGUUGGAGCAGCUCUAACAUAUAAAAUUCACAUUGUCCAGAUGACCAAUAGAGGGU